RNAcentral lists this ribosomal RNA (478 nucleotides) under uncultured bacterium. RNAcentral's name for it is "partial 16S ribosomal RNA". It matches the Rfam family "Bacterial small subunit ribosomal RNA", at positions 28 to 523 of the family's 1533-position model. The record is from RNAcentral.
GACGAACGCUGGCGGCGUGCUUAACACAUGCAAGUCGAACGGCAAGGCCCUUCGGGGUACACGAGUGGCGAACGGGUGAGUAACACGUGGGUGAUCUGCCCUGCACUUCGGGAUAAGCCUGGGAAACUGGGUCUAAUACCGGAUAGGACCACUGCCUGCAUGGGAGGGGGUGUAAAGCUUUUGCGGUGUGGGAUGGGCCCGCGGCCUAUCAGCUUGUUGGUGGGGUGAUGGCCUACCAAGGCGACUACGGGUAGCCGGCCUGAGAGGGUGACCGGCCACACUGGGACUGCGAUACGGCCCAGACUCCUACGGGAGGCAGCAGUGGGGAAUAUUGCACAAUGGGCGCAAGCCUGAUGCAGCGACGCCGCGUGAGGGAUGACGGCCUUCGGGUUGUAAACCUCUUUCAGCACCGACGAAGCGCAAGUGACGGUAGGUGCAGAAGAAGGACCGGCCAACUACGUGCCAGCCGCCGCCGUAA